Molecule: ribosomal RNA, 266 nt
Filed under: uncultured bacterium
Lineage: Bacteria
Description: partial 16S ribosomal RNA
Rfam family: Bacterial small subunit ribosomal RNA
Source: RNAcentral
GUCCACGCCGUAAACGAUGAGUGCUAGGUGCUGCGGGUAUUGACCCCUGCGGUGCCGUAGCUAACGCGUUAAGCACUCCGCCUGGGGAGUACGGCCGCAAGGCUAAAACUCAAAGGAAUUGACGGGGGCCCGCACAAGCGGUGGAGCAUGUGGUUCAAUUCGACGCAACGCGCAGAACCUUACCUGGGUUAAAAUCCACUCGAAGUUGGUAGAGAUACCGAUGUGCCUUUCGGGGAGCGAGUGAGAAGGUGCUGCAUGGCUGUCGU